RNAcentral lists this unclassified non-coding RNA (1258 nucleotides) under Hevea brasiliensis (rubber tree). Lineage: Eukaryota; Viridiplantae; Streptophyta; Magnoliopsida; Malpighiales; Euphorbiaceae. The record is from RNAcentral.
GUUAUAAGCAAGUAAUUAGCAUUUGCAGUCAGAUCAAAGCAAGCAUUCGCAGAUGCGGGUCUACAGGCAGACCAAUUCCCUCAAACAAUGGAUCAUACACUGUAUUUAUGAUUAAAUUUUCUCGGUAUUUACACAUGCCAAUAUGUUAUAUUUAUUACUUGAUAAGAAUUUUUGUUUAUUGUGCUUAUAAGCGUUUCAAUCAUAUAUGUGCUAUGAUAAAAAUAUAUGAAAGAAAACUACAACAAAUUCCUAAAUAAAAUAUAGUUACUAGAAGAAAAGACCACAUCUUUGUACAAGGAAUCUACAGAACUCUAUACUGAUGCUGAAUGAUUGGUGGAUAGAGGAAGACACCAUGAAUCAUUGGCCGACAAUAGCGAGAAGCUGGGAGCACUUGACAUAGCUGAGGAAUCCCUGGUUCACAGCAGCGAGGAAAAGUAGGAAUGACUUGCGUACUCACUGGUUCGCAAAUCCUAGUGGUGACGCCAUACAAGAACCCCACAAAUCUAGAUUCCUCUAUCCCAUACAUCGUCUUCAUCCUGGCGAACACACGAGCUGUUAAUAGACUAUCAGAUCCUGCUUGAUGAGACCCUCCAACUCGCUUGACUCCUAGAAUCUUAGCCAAUUUCUCCAAUCCAAGCUCACCCCUGUGCAGGUCAUCGUAGAAUCGUGCCAUGUACUUGACAUCCAACACACAGCACCCAAAUACCGUGGCAAUAAUCUCAGUGAAAUCCAACAUAGAUACGGGCAGUGGUUUCUUGGUAACCAGCUUCACCAUGUAGGCCAAGUCAUAUAGCCCAUGAAAAGUUAGCCACUUCAAGUCUCUAUGUCUGCUUAAAACAUGAGUGAACAUGUUUGAGAAAAACAGCUGGUCGAUCCCAUUAAUCCUCAGCUCCUCAAAAUCAAUUCCACUUUCCUUUAGAAACUCAAUGGACUUAGGAUCAUAAAAAACCUCCGUUUCUAUCAAGAACUUGAAAUUAAACUCCCAAGUUCCAGCGAUAAUUCCAUUCUCAUCGGAAAGUGUAAUACCCAGUUGGAUAAUUUUCAUGUUAUCAACGUUGAACUUCAUAUCAGCGAAUGCCGAUAACUCAUCAGACCGGCGAGGGGUUUUCCGAAGAAAUCCAGGGAACUCCGAAUCCAUGGAAACCACCUUGUGGUGGUGCAACGCCGCAUCCAUUUUUUGCAGUUCUUCCAUGAGAUUACACGCCCAAACUUGCCUAAUCCCCAUCUCGCAAUGAUCGCUCAGUUCCUGAUAAAAAAG